CUCUCUGGAGAAUCCCGGCUGUUUAGCAGUAUGUGGUGCCGAAGGUGCAAGGAAUCAUUUCCAAAACUCUCAGGCAAAAGGACAGAGCCAU
Molecule: non-coding RNA, 91 nt
Filed under: human gut metagenome
Description: Glycine riboswitch
Rfam family: Glycine riboswitch aptamer
About the family: This family represents the bacterial glycine riboswitch. Glycine riboswitches usually consist of two metabolite-binding aptamers domains with similar structures in tandem. The aptamers cooperatively bind glycine to regulate the expression of downstream genes.
Source: RNAcentral